UACGGGGGGGGCAAGCGUUGUUCGGAAUUACUGGGCGUAAAGGGCUCGUAGGCGGCCAACUAAGUCGGAUGUGAAAUCCCCAGGCUUAACCUGGGAACUGCAUCCGAUACUGGAUGGCUUGAAUCCGGGAGAGGGAUGCGGAAUUCCAGGUGUAGCGGUGAAAUGCGUAGAUAUCAGGAGGAACACCGGUGGCGAAGGCGGGUCUCUGGGCCGAUACUGACGCUGAGGAGCGAAAGCGUGGGGAGCAAACAGG
RNAcentral lists this ribosomal RNA (253 nucleotides) under uncultured bacterium. RNAcentral's name for it is "partial 16S ribosomal RNA". It matches the Rfam family "Bacterial small subunit ribosomal RNA", at positions 524 to 776 of the family's 1533-position model. The record is from RNAcentral.